GGGGCUGUAGCUCAGUUGGGAGAGCGCAUGACUGGCAGUCAUGAGGUCAGGGGUUCGAUCCCCCUCAGCUCCA
This 73-nucleotide transfer RNA is filed under the name Candidatus Eiseniibacteriota bacterium. RNAcentral's name for it is "tRNA-Ala". It matches the Rfam family "tRNA". Rfam says of the family: Transfer RNA (tRNA) molecules are approximately 80 nucleotides in length. The record is from RNAcentral. Lineage: Bacteria; Candidatus Eiseniibacteriota.